RNAcentral lists this ribosomal RNA (483 nucleotides) under uncultured bacterium. Its description in RNAcentral is "partial 16S ribosomal RNA". It matches the Rfam family "Bacterial small subunit ribosomal RNA", at positions 29 to 507 of the family's 1533-position model. The record is from RNAcentral.
AUUGAACGCUGGCGGCAUGCUUUACACAUGCAAGUCGAACGGCAGCGCGGGCUUCGGCCUGGCGGCGAGUGGCGAACGGGUGAGUAAUGCAUCGGAACGUGCCCAGUAGUGGGGGAUAGCCCGGCGAAAGCCGGAUUAAUACCGCAUACGACCUGAGGGUGAAAGCGGGGGACCGAAAGGCCUCGCGCUAUUUGAGCUGCCGAUGUCGGAUUAGCUAGUUGGUUGGGUAAAGGCUUACCAAGGCGACGAUCCGUAGCUGGUCUGAGAGGACGACCAGCCAACCUGGGACUGAGAAACGGCCCAGACCCUUACGGGAGGCAGAGGUGGGGAAUUUUGGACAAUGGGGGAAACCCUGAGCCAGCCAUGCGGCGGGCGGGAAGAAGGCCUUCGGGUUGUAAACCGUUUUUGUUCGGGAAGAAAUCCUCUGGGCUAACACCCCGGGGGAUGACGGUACCGGAAGAAUAAGCACCGGCUAACUACGUG